GGGGGGAGUGGCUCCUGUCCUGACCAAGAGGAGAGAGAAACCAGAGAGGAACCCGAAGCUCAGUGAAGUCGGCCCGAGAUGGUGUAAAUCCCGUGCUGCCUCUGACUUUAAGAAGUCUGUCCUGGUGGUGGACAGAGGGCUCCCCAAUGGUGUCCUCCCACCCCUACGGCCACACCUGUUCCCACGGCCAAUGCGGUCGCUGCCUUACCCUGAAGCCCGCCACGGCGCAGUAGGACUUGCCUGGCCUCUCUUCUUUCCCACCCCCGUUCCAGUUCCCAUAUUGUGCCACUCUCACAGCUCGGGACGGGGGCUGAUCUGUAACUGCCCUUUUACAGAGCGAUCACAGAGGCUGGCAGACAGUCCCAGCACUUCCCCUCAGUGUCCUGGGAGCAAAGGAUCGAGAGGACUCUUGUGGAACAGAGAUGGUGGACCCGGAACCCCGAGAGAGGACCAACCACGUCAUUGAAAACACACCACGAGGCCAUGCCUGAUGAAAGGCUCCUCACUUUAUCGGUCCAACUCCAUCUCCUGAGAGAAACAGAAAUGUGCCUGCCAUUGUUGUCCUGUGAUCAUGAUGUAGUCUUUCUCUCUCCAAACAUAAAGAGGUUUAAAGCUGACACAGCAACCGAGCAGAGAGCACAGCCCACCCACGGCCUCUUCCUACAUUGGUCUACAUCACAAUGAAAUCUUUAGGGAGGUAAUCCUGCAUACAUCCCGACAGGCACUCACCAGAAAACAACCAUCCAGUGGGACUGGGGAUGGCAGCACCUCCCAUGGGCACAGCGCCCUGCCCCUGAGCAAGCAGAUGACUUCUUUCUCUUCAGCGAAGGUGUGGUCAGUAGGGGACCUCCCUCUUUUUUCUCUCCUGGAUAGCCCGGUGCCACACCAACCUUAUUAACCGUGAGGAUGAUGAAAAACUUUACAAAUCCAGCAAAUGGAGUUUAAAGAGUGGUCACCUCUUUGGGGUGGUCCACCAGAAGUCCGGAUUCACCCUCUCGGGGUGAGGCUUCUGGGUCUGAUGCCCCUGGGUAGUGAGGAGACAGAUAAGGACCCUCCUCCUUGCUAGGCUACUGACGGAGGUCUGCAAGGGACCACGAGAUAGGUUUGAGUCUCAGAUCUCGAGGGCAAGUGUGCAAGAAACACCAUUUUCCUUAUAUUCUAUGAUUCUUGUUCUGGCCAGACCCCCAUGCAGCUGCAAUGGCAGAAAUGCCCAGUUCACUCAUUUUGAGCUUCUUUAAUGAACCUCGUUACAAGGACAGCAUCCCGGGGAACAGAAUUGUGCUGGAGAAGGGCAGAGAUGGAAACACCUUACAGAAGAUUAUCAUUAUUUGCUAUCCUGGGGCAUUUAUAAGCCUAGGCUGACCCCUGCUGACGUCAUUCGGAAGUGGAUGUCCGGGUACCAUGGGCUUCCACCGCCAGCUGCCCACCCACAUCUUCUCUUUGAUUUCCUCACCUGUGGGUUUGAAAAAAUAAACCUGGAAAGGAACGCUCCCCC
This 1495-nucleotide long non-coding RNA is filed under the name Equus asinus (donkey). RNAcentral describes it as "lncRNA (ENSEASG00005026904.1)". Lineage: Eukaryota; Metazoa; Chordata; Mammalia; Perissodactyla; Equidae. The record is from RNAcentral.